Molecule: ribosomal RNA, 253 nt
Filed under: uncultured bacterium
Lineage: Bacteria
Description: partial 16S ribosomal RNA
Rfam family: Bacterial small subunit ribosomal RNA
Source: RNAcentral
UACGUAGGGGGCAAGCGUUGUCCGGAUUUAUUGGGCGUAAAGAGCGUGUAGGCGGCCGUACGGGUCAGCUGUGAAAACUCGAGGCUCAACCUCGAGACGUCGGUUGAAACCGUACGGCUAGAGUCCGGAAGAGGAGAGUGGAAUUCCCGGUGUAGCGGUGAAAUGCGCAGAUAUCGGGAAGAACACCCGUGGCGAAGGCGGCUCUCUGGGACGGUACUGACGCUGAGACGCGAAAGCGUGGGGAGCGAACAGG